UAUUGCACAAUGGGGGGAACCCUGAUGCAGCGACGCCGCGUGAGUGAAGAAGUAUCUCGGUACGUAAAGCUCUAUCAGCAGGGAAGAAAAUGACGGUACCUGACUAAGAAGCCCCGGCUAACUACGUGCCAGCAGCCGCGGGAAUACGUAGGGGGCAAGCGUUAUCCGGAUUUACUGGGUGUAAAGGGAGCGUAGACUGCAAUGCAAGUCCGGAGUGAAAGCCCAAGGGUUAACCAUGGGACUGCUCUGGAAACUGUGGAGCUUGAGUGCGGGAGGGGCAGGCGGAAUUCCUAGUGUAGCGGUGAAAUGCGUAGAUAUUAGGAGGAACACCAGCGGCGAAGGCGGCCUGCUGGACCGUAACUGACGUUGAGGCUCGAAAGCGUGGGGAGCAAACAGG
This 397-nucleotide ribosomal RNA is filed under the name uncultured bacterium. RNAcentral's name for it is "bacterial SSU rRNA". It matches the Rfam family "Bacterial small subunit ribosomal RNA", at positions 362 to 776 of the family's 1533-position model. The record is from RNAcentral.